UUUAUACCCCUCCGUCCCAAAAUUCUUGUCUUAGAUUUGUCUUGGUAUUAAUGUAUCUAGUCAUGUUUUGGUAUUUAGAUACAUUCAUUUUCUAGACAAACAUAAGACAAAUAUUUUGGGACAGAGGGAGUACUAU
This is a non-coding RNA of Hordeum vulgare subsp. vulgare (domesticated barley), 136 nucleotides long. Lineage: Eukaryota; Viridiplantae; Streptophyta; Magnoliopsida; Poales; Poaceae. The record is from Rfam.